Molecule: non-coding RNA, 133 nt
Organism: Pseudomonadales bacterium
Lineage: Bacteria; Pseudomonadati; Pseudomonadota; Gammaproteobacteria; Pseudomonadales
Source: Rfam
UGUGCUCAGGGACAAGCACAGGUUGUCAGGAAGACAAUCAGGACAUCGCAAGACGCGAUUCAUCAGGAUGAUGAGCUGGGAAAUACAGGGACUAGGGACAAAAGAGUGGGCGGCGCGAGCCGCCCCUUUUUUU